UUGAAGAGUUUGAUCAUGGCUCAGAUUGAACGCUGGCGGCAGGCCUAACACAUGCAAGUCGAGCGGUAGCACAGAGAGCUUGCUCUCGGGUGACGAGCGGCGGACGGGUGAGUAAUGUCUGGGAAACUGCCUGAUGGAGGGGGAUAACUACUGGAAACGGUAGCUAAUACCGCAUAAUGUCGCAAGACCAAAGUGGGGGACCUUCGGGCCUCAUGCCAUCAGAUGUGCCCAGAUGGGAUUAGCUAGUAGGUGGGGUAACGGCUCACCUAGGCGACGAUCCCUAGCUGGUCUGAGAGGAUGACCAGCCACACUGGAACUGAGACACGGUCCAGACUCCUACGGGAGGCAGCAGUGGGGAAUAUUGCACAAUGGGCGCAAGCCUGAUGCAGCCAUGCCGCGUGUGUGAAGAAGGCCUUCGGGUUGUAAAGCACUUUCAGCGGGGAGGAAGGCGAUAAGGUUAAUAACCUCAUCGAUUGACGUUACCCGCAGAAGAAGCACCGGCUAACUCCGUGCCAGCAGCCGCGGUAAUACGGAGGGUGCAAGCGUUAAUCGGAAUUACUGGGCGUAAAGCGCACGCAGGCGGUCUGUCAAGUCGGAUGUGAAAUCCCCGGGCUCAACCUGGGAACUGCAUUCGAAACUGGCAGGCUAGAGUCUUGUAGAGGGGGGUAGAAUUCCAGGUGUAGCGGUGAAAUGCGUAGAGAUCUGGAGGAAUACCGGUGGCGAAGGCGGCCCCCUGGACAAAGACUGACGCUCAGGUGCGAAAGCGUGGGGAGCAAACAGGAUUAGAUACCCUGGUAGUCCACGCCGUAAACGAUGUCGAUUUGGAGGUUGUGCCCUUGAGGCGUGGCUUCCGGAGCUAACGCGUUAAAUCGACCGCCUGGGGAGUACGGCCGCAAGGUUAAAACUCAAAUGAAUUGACGGGGGCCCGCACAAGCGGUGGAGCAUGUGGUUUAAUUCGAUGCAACGCGAAGAACCUUACCUGGUCUUGACAUCCACAGAACUUAGCAGAGAUGCUUUGGUGCCUUCGGGAACUGUGAGACAGGUGCUGCAUGGCUGUCGUCAGCUCGUGUUGUGAAAUGUUGGGUUAAGUCCCGCAACGAGCGCAACCCUUAUCCUUUGUUGCCAGCGGUUCGGCCGGGAACUCAAAGGAGACUGCCAGUGAUAAACUGGAGGAAGGUGGGGAUGACGUCAAGUCAUCAUGGCCCUUACGACCAGGGCUACACACGUGCUACAAUGGCAUAUACAAAGAGAAGCGACCUCGCGAGAGCAAGCGGACCUCAUAAAGUAUGUCGUAGUCCGGAUUGGAGUCUGCAACUCGACUCCAUGAAGUCGGAAUCGCUAGUAAUCGUAGAUCAGAAUGCUACGGUGAAUACGUUCCCGGGCCUUGUACACACCGCCCGUCACACCAUGGGAGUGGGUUGCAAAAGAAGUAGGUAGCUUAACCUUCGGGAGGGCGCUUACCACUUUGUGAUUCAUGACUGGGGUGAAGUCGUAACAAGGUAACCGUAGGGGAACCUGCGGUUGGAUCACCUCCUU
This 1536-nucleotide ribosomal RNA is filed under the name Klebsiella pneumoniae. RNAcentral's name for it is "16S ribosomal RNA". It matches the Rfam family "Bacterial small subunit ribosomal RNA". The record is from RNAcentral. Lineage: Bacteria; Pseudomonadati; Pseudomonadota; Gammaproteobacteria; Enterobacterales; Enterobacteriaceae.